RNAcentral lists this ribosomal RNA (760 nucleotides) under uncultured bacterium. Its description in RNAcentral is "bacterial SSU rRNA". It matches the Rfam family "Bacterial small subunit ribosomal RNA", at positions 1 to 761 of the family's 1533-position model. The record is from RNAcentral.
UAGAGUUGAUCCUGGCUCAGAUUGAACGCUGGCGGCAGGCCUAACACAUGCAAGCCGAGCGGCAGCGGGAAGUAGCUUGCUACUUUGCCGGCGAGCGGCGGACGGGUGAGUAAUGUCUGGGAAACUGCCUGAUGGAGGGGGAUAACUACUGGAAACGGUAGCUAAUACCGCAUGAUGUCGCAAGACCAAAGUGGGGGACCUUCGGGCCUCACGCCAUCGGAUGUGCCCGGAUGGGAUUAGCUAGUAGGUGAGGUAAUGGCUCACCUAGGCGACGAUCCCUAGCUGGUCUGAGAGGAUGACCAGCCACACUGGAACUGAGACACGGUCCAGACUCCUACGGGAGGCAGCAGUGGGGAAUAUUGCACAAUGGGCGCAAGCCUGAUGCAGCCAUGCCGCGUGUGUGAAGAAGGCCUUAGGGUUGUAAAGCACUUUCAGCGAGGAGGAAGGCGUUGUAGUUAAUAGCUGCAACGAUUGACGUUACUCGCGGAAGAAGCACCGGCUAACUCCGUGCCAGCAGCCGCGGUAAUACGGAGGGUGCAAGCGUUAAUCGGAAUUACUGGGCGUAAAGCGCACGCAGGCGGUUUGUUAAGUCAGGUGUGAAAUCCCCGAGCUUAACUUGGGAACUGCAUUUGAAACUGGCAAGCUAGAGUCUUGUAGAGGGGGGUAGAAUUCCAGGUGUAGCGGUGAAAUACGUAGAGAUCUGGAGGAAUACCGGUGGCGAAGGCGGCCCCCUGGACAAAGACUACGCUCAGUGGAAGCG